Molecule: ribosomal RNA, 426 nt
Filed under: uncultured bacterium
Lineage: Bacteria
Description: bacterial SSU rRNA
Rfam family: Bacterial small subunit ribosomal RNA
Source: RNAcentral
AGGGAAUCUUCGGCAAUGGACGAAAGUCUGACCGAGCAACGCCGCGUGAGUGAAGAAGGUUUUCGGAUCGUAAAACUCUGUUGUUAGAGAAGAACAAGGAUGAGAGUAGAACGUUCAUCCCUUGACGGUAUCUAACCAGAAAGCCACGGCUAACUACGUGCCAGCAGCCGCGGUAAUACGUAGGUGGCAAGCGUUGUCCGGAUUUAUUGGGCGUAAAGCGAGCGCAGGCGGUUCAUUAAGUCUGAUGUGAAAGCCCCCGGCUCAACCGGGGAGGGUCAUUGGAAACUGGUGGACUUGAGUGCAGAAGAGGAGAGUGGAAUUCCAUGUGUAGCGGUGAAAUGCGUAGAUAUAUGGAGGAACACCAGUGGCGAAGGCGGCUCUCUGGUCUGUAACUGACGCUGAGGCUCGAAAGCGUGGGGAGCAAAC